UGAUUUUUCAGAGUGCAGCCUAAACUAAUAUGGAGUACCUGCAUUUAAUUAACUACUUUAAAAAUGUUCUUCAGACUAUGAAGCCAUAAAGCCAGAAGAAAACCUGAGAAGCCAUCUGUCCCAGCCAGAAAUUUAAAUUUCUUAAGAAGAUCAGCACCUACAAAAGAGUCACAGAGGUACAAGAGGAGUCCACUGAAAAACACCCCAUCACAGUUGACAUUGCUGGAGUGGGGUCUGGAGCUGAUGUAGCAUAUGGCCACCUGGAAUGAUCAAGCAGAAGGAGCAUGGGCAUUUCAGAAGCAAAAUGUCUGCACUUUACCUGAAUGAGUCAGUAUCUUCCUCUUUAGCUGUCUGUUUCAGGAUAAGGGAAAAGGUUUUUUUGUGUGUGUGUGUGUGUUUUUUUUAUUGAAACUUAAAUGAGUUGGUUAUUUAAGCUUUGCCCCUCUUCUAUGUAGUGUACCAAGGUUUAACAUAUUUAAAGCUUCUAGUUUAUUUCUCAUAAUCAGAGAUGGUUAUGAAAGAAUUAGUAGUAAGAAACAAAAUAAGCCCCUCUAUCUAAGAGUGUUUAUAAAAUAAAAAAGCCGCUUUCCACAGAAAGGCAUACUGAGGAAAGAUAAAAUAUUUAGAUCACCUUAUUAGAGAGAGUAAACAUUUUUAAUCAGCUUUUCAUGUAGAUAGACUUAAAUUUUCAAUUGGUUAGAAGCUUCAAACUGCAUGAAUUAAAUUUUUAGGUCUGUAUGGCUUCCAUGUAACCACAGAAAUUACAGGUAAGUGAAUGAGAUAGUUGGAGGACUUUGAGAAGGAUGGAAUGACUAAAAAUGUGGGCCAGACUGCUUGGGUUCGAGUACUGGUUCCUUGAAUAGUUGUGUGACUCUGAGCAGUCUCCUUCAUUUCACCAUAUUUCAUCUUCCUGCUCUGUAGAGAUGAUAGCAGUAUCUGAUUCAUAGGACUAUUUUGUGAAUUAAUAUAAACAGUAAGUAUUCAGUGAGUGUUAGCUGCUGUUAGUAGUAGUGGUAUUGGGAUUUUGUUGUCCGACAUCUAAAGCCCUGGAUCUUGGGAUGGAAGAGUUGGGAAACCUGGGCUAGACAUGUAACUUAUGUUGAUACCAUGAAAGUGUGGUAUCUGAUGUAAGGCUCCUUCUACUUAUAAAAUUCAAUAAUUCAUGUCCAACCCACAGUGUAGACUUGUGAGAAUGUAAAAUAUUUACAGUUAAAUUUUAAAAAUCAGUU
Molecule: long non-coding RNA, 1229 nt
Organism: Myotis daubentonii (Daubenton's bat)
Lineage: Eukaryota; Metazoa; Chordata; Mammalia; Chiroptera; Vespertilionidae
Exons: 2
Source: RefSeq, a predicted model, not a curated record